This 253-nucleotide ribosomal RNA is filed under the name uncultured bacterium. RNAcentral's name for it is "partial 16S ribosomal RNA". It matches the Rfam family "Bacterial small subunit ribosomal RNA", at positions 524 to 776 of the family's 1533-position model. The record is from RNAcentral.
UACGAAGGGGGCUAGCGUUGCUCGGAAUCACUGGGCGUAAAGGGUGCGUAGGCGGGUUUUUAAGUCAGGGGUGAAAUCCUGGAGCUCAACUCCAGAACUGCCUUUGAUACUGAAGAUCUUGAGUUCGGGAGAGGUGAGUGGAACUGCGAGUGUAGAGGUGAAAUUCGUAGAUAUUCACAAGAACACCAGUGGCGAAGGCGGCUCACUGGCCCGAUACUGACGCUGAGGCACGAAAGCGUGGGGAGCAAACAGG